GACGAACGCUGGCGGCGUGCUUAACACAUGCAAGUCGAACGGAAAGGCCCUGCUUUUGUGGGGUGCUCGAGUGGCGAACGGGUGAGUAACACGUGAGUAGCCUGCCCUUGACUUUGGGAUAACUUCAGGAAACUGGGGCUAAUACCGGAUAGGAGCUCCUGCUGCAUGGUGGGGGUUGGAAAGUUUCGGCGGUUGGGGAUGGACUCGCGGCUUAUCAGCUUGUUGGUGGGGUAGUGGCUUACCAAGGCUUUGACGGGUAGCCGGCCUGAGAGGGUGACCGGCCACAUUGGGACUGAGAUACGGCCCAGACUCCUACGGGAGGCAGCAGUGGGGAAUAUGGCACAAUGGGCGGAAGCCUGAUGCAGCAACGCCGCGUGCGGGAUGACGGCCUUCGGGUUGUAAACCGCUUUCGCCUGUGACGAAGCGUGAGUGACGGUAAUGGGUAAAGAAGCACCGGCUAACUACGU
Molecule: ribosomal RNA, 467 nt
Filed under: uncultured bacterium
Lineage: Bacteria
Description: partial 16S ribosomal RNA
Rfam family: Bacterial small subunit ribosomal RNA
Source: RNAcentral